UACGAAGGGGGCUAGCGUUGCUCGGAAUCACUGGGCGUAAAGCGCACGUAGGCGGGUCGUUAAGUCGGGGGUGAAAUCCUGGAGCUCAACUCCAGAACUGCCUUUGAUACUGAAGAUCUUGAGUUCGGGAGAGGUGAGUGGAACUGCGAGUGUAGAGGUGAAAUUCGUAGAUAUUCGCAAGAACACCAGUGGCGAAGGCGGCUCACUGGCCCGAUACUGACGCUGAGGCACGAAAGCGUGGGGAGCAAACAGG
This 253-nucleotide ribosomal RNA is filed under the name uncultured bacterium. RNAcentral describes it as "partial 16S ribosomal RNA". It matches the Rfam family "Bacterial small subunit ribosomal RNA", at positions 524 to 776 of the family's 1533-position model. The record is from RNAcentral.